Molecule: transfer RNA, 73 nt
Filed under: Candidatus Iainarchaeum sp.
Lineage: Archaea; Nanobdellati; Candidatus Iainarchaeota; Candidatus Iainarchaeia; Candidatus Iainarchaeales; Candidatus Iainarchaeaceae
Description: tRNA-His
Rfam family: tRNA
About the family: Transfer RNA (tRNA) molecules are approximately 80 nucleotides in length.
Source: RNAcentral
GCUGCGAUAGUUUAGCGGUUUAGAAUCCUCGGUUGUGGUCCGAGGGACCUGAGUUCGACUCUCAGUCGCGGCC